CCUACGGGAGGCAGCAGUGGGGAAUAUUGGGCAAUGGGCGCAAGCCUGACCCAGCAACGCCGCGUGAAGGAAGAAGGCUUUCGGGUUGUAAACUUCUUUUAAGAGGGAAGAGCAGAAGACGGUACCUCUUGACUAAGCCACGGCUAACUACGUGCCAGCAGCCGCGGUAAUACGUAGGUGGCAAGCGUUGUCCGGAUUUACUGGGUGUAAAGGGCGUGUAGCCGGGCUGACAAGUCAGAUGUGAAAUCCGGGGGCUCAACCCCCGAACUGCAUGUGGAACUGUUGGUCUUGAGUAUCGGACAGGCAGGCGGAAUUCCUAGUGUAGCUGUGAAAUGCGUAGAUAUUAGGAGGAACACCAGUGGCGAAGGCGGACUGCUGGACGACAACUGACGGUGAGGCGCGAAAGCGUGGGGAGCAAACAGGAUUAGAUACCCUAGUAGUC
Molecule: ribosomal RNA, 442 nt
Filed under: uncultured bacterium
Lineage: Bacteria
Description: partial 16S ribosomal RNA
Rfam family: Bacterial small subunit ribosomal RNA
Source: RNAcentral